RNAcentral lists this transfer RNA (76 nucleotides) under Candidatus Phascolarctobacterium equi. RNAcentral describes it as "tRNA-Val". It matches the Rfam family "tRNA". Rfam says of the family: Transfer RNA (tRNA) molecules are approximately 80 nucleotides in length. Their secondary structure includes four short double-helical elements and three loops (D, anti-codon, and T loops). Further hydrogen bonds mediate the characteristic L-shaped molecular structure. tRNAs have two regions of fundamental functional importance: the anti-codon, which is responsible for specific mRNA codon recognition, and the 3' end, to which the tRNAs corresponding amino acid is attached (by aminoacyl-tRNA synthetases). tRNAs cope with the degeneracy of the genetic code in two manners: having more than one tRNA (with a specific anti-codon) for a particular amino acid; and 'wobble' base-pairing, i.e. permitting non-standard base-pairing at the 3rd anti-codon position. Lineage: Bacteria; Bacillati; Bacillota; Negativicutes; Acidaminococcales; Acidaminococcaceae. The record is from RNAcentral.
GGGCGUUUAGCUCAGCUGGGAGAGCACCUGCCCUACAAGCAGGGUGUCGGCGGUUCGAUCUCGUCAACGCCCACCA